UCUAUUGGGUUAUUGAUUUAAGUCUGUUCUGCUCAAUGAUUAAUCUUAAAUAGCUGCAGUAUAUUAACUGUACAAAGGUAGCAUAAUAAUUUGUCUUUUAAUUGGGGGCUAGUAUGAAUGAUUGGACGAGAUACCAGCUUUCUUUAAUUUAAUUUAUGAAUUUGAUUUUUUAGUGAAAAUGCUAGGAUUUUUUUGUGGGACGAGAAGACCCUAUAGAAUUUUAUUGAUUAAUAUAUUUUAUGUUUGAGUUUUAGUUUUGUGUAAAAUAUAUUUUAUUAAUUUGGUUGGGGUGAUUAUGAAAUUUUUUUAACUUUUAUUAAAUAUUUUUCAAUAAUUGUUGUUUGUGUUGAUCCUUUAUUAUGGAUUAUAAGAAAGAAUUACCUUAGGGAUAACAGCGUAAUUUUGUUGGAGAGUUCUUAUCGAUAAUAUGAGUUUGCGACCUCGAUGUUGGAUUAAAGUAAUUUUUAGGUGUAGGUGCUUAAAUUUUUGAGUCUGUUCGA
Molecule: ribosomal RNA, 500 nt
Filed under: Myodocha serripes
Lineage: Eukaryota; Metazoa; Arthropoda; Insecta; Hemiptera; Rhyparochromidae
Description: partial 16S ribosomal RNA
Source: RNAcentral